Molecule: ribosomal RNA, 400 nt
Filed under: uncultured bacterium
Lineage: Bacteria
Description: bacterial SSU rRNA
Rfam family: Bacterial small subunit ribosomal RNA
Source: RNAcentral
GAAUCUUGGACAAUGGGCGAAAGCCUGAUCCAGCGACGCCGCGUGACUGAUGAAGCCCCUCGGGGUGUCAAAGUCUUUCAGCAGGGACAAUGAUGAUGGUACCUGCAGAAGCAGCUGCGGCUAACUACGUGCCAGUAGCCGCGGUAAUACGUAGGCAGCAAGCGUUGUUCGGAAUUACUGGGCGUAAAGCGAGUGUAGGCGGUUUGCCAAGUCCGUUGUGAAAUCUCCCGGCUCAACUGGGAGGGUGCGCCGGAAACUGGCAGGCUAGAGUGCGGUAUGGGAGAGUGGAAUUCCUGGUGUAGCGGUGAAAUGCGUAGAUAUCAGGAGGAACACCGGUGGUGAAGACGGCUAUCCGGACCGCUACUGACGCUGAGACUCGAAAGCGCGGGGAGCAAACAGG